Molecule: ribosomal RNA, 649 nt
Filed under: Bacillus amyloliquefaciens
Lineage: Bacteria; Bacillati; Bacillota; Bacilli; Caryophanales; Bacillaceae
Description: bacterial SSU rRNA
Source: RNAcentral
CKWGGSGGGSGGGCCUAAUACAUGCAGUCGAGCGGACAGAUGGGAGCUUGCUCCCUGAUGUUAGCGGCGGACGGGUGAGUAACACGUGGGUAACCUGCCUGUAAGACUGGGAUAACUCCGGGAAACCGGGGCUAAUACCGGAUGGUUGUYUGAACCGCAUGGUUCAGACAUAAAAGGUGGCUUCGGCUACCACUUACAGAUGGACCCGCGGCGCAUUAGCUAGUUGGUGAGGUAACGGCUCACCAAGGCGACGAUGCGUAGCCGACCUGAGAGGGUGAUCGGCCACACUGGGACUGAGACACGGCCCAGACUCCUACGGGAGGCAGCAGUAGGGAAUCUUCCGCAAUGGACGAAAGUCUGACGGAGCAACGCCGCGUGAGUGAUGAAGGUUUUCGGAUCGUAAAGCUCUGUUGUUAGGGAAGAACAAGUGCCGUUCAAAUAGGGCGGCACCUUGACGGUACCUAACCAGAAAGCCACGGCUAACUACGUGCCAGCAGCCGCGGUAAUACGUAGGUGGCAAGCGUUGUCCGGAAUUAUUGGGCGUAAAGGGCUCGSAGGCGGUUUCUUAAGUCUGAUGUGAAAGCCCCCGGCUCAACCGSGGAGGGUCAUUGGAAACUGGGGAACUUGAGUGCAGAAGAGGAGAGWGSAA